Molecule: transfer RNA, 75 nt
Filed under: Pirellulaceae bacterium
Lineage: Bacteria; Pseudomonadati; Planctomycetota; Planctomycetia; Pirellulales; Pirellulaceae
Description: tRNA-Gly
Rfam family: tRNA
About the family: Transfer RNA (tRNA) molecules are approximately 80 nucleotides in length.
Source: RNAcentral
GCGCUAGUAGCUUAGUUUGGCCAAAGCGCCACUUUGCCAUGGUGGAGACCGCGGGUUCAAGUCCCGCCUGGCGCA